UGGGAAGCUGGCGAUGGACGUGUCUUUCGCCAAUCUGGUCAGAUCCGGAAGGAAGCAGCCACAACGAAUCUUUCAUGGGUUAUUGUCCAGUUUCCUUUUU
RNAcentral lists this signal recognition particle RNA (100 nucleotides) under Hyphomicrobiales bacterium. Its description in RNAcentral is "Rhizobiales bacterium signal recognition particle sRNA small type". It matches the Rfam family "Bacterial small signal recognition particle RNA". Rfam says of the family: The signal recognition particle (SRP) is a universally conserved ribonucleoprotein involved in the co-translational targeting of proteins to membranes. Archaeal SRP consists of a 7S RNA and homologues of the eukaryotic SRP19 and SRP54 proteins. In most bacteria, the SRP consists of a 4.5S RNA and the Ffh protein (a homologue of the eukaryotic SRP54 protein). The record is from RNAcentral. Lineage: Bacteria; Pseudomonadati; Pseudomonadota; Alphaproteobacteria; Hyphomicrobiales.